AUGGGGAUCCCGAGCCCGAGCGACGAGGUGGUCCAAAUCGUGCACGGGGACGGCGCGGGGGACCCCACCGUGGUCACCGUGAGCUGCCCCGACAAGACGGGCCUGGGCUGCGACCUCUGCCGCCUCGUCCUCCUCUUCGGCCUCAACGUCCACAAGGGCGACAUGAGCACCGACGGCCGCUGGUGCUACAUCGUGCUCUGGGUCGCCGCGCGCCGAGGCCGGGCCGUCGCCUGGGACGUCCUCAAGGACCGCCUCGUCGACCUCUGCCCCGUCCCGGCGCCCUUCGGCGUCGACAGCGCCUACCUCGCCGCCGCCGGCCUCCAGGACCCCGACGCCGAGCCCCAGGUGUUCCUGCUCAAGUUCUGCUGCUACGACCGGAUGGGCCUCCUCCACGACGUGACGUGCGUGCUCUCCGAGAUGGAACUCACAAUUAGGAGGGUCAAGGUCUCCACCACGCCAGAUGGGAGAGUGAUGGACCUUUUCUUCAUCACUGAUGCUAGGGAACUUCUACACACAAAGAGCAGGAGGGAAGAGGCCUAUGAAAAGCUCCAGAGUGUCUUAGGCGACUCCGUGACGAGUUGCGAAAUAGAAUCCGCGACGGAGGACAUGUCUUGUUGCCUCCAAGCUUCAGCAUUGUUGUCGCCUGUUGUCCUGGAGCAGAUGUUCAGCGAGGUAGAUGCCAUAGAGGAGCAAUCGAGGUCCAGCGGUAGCCUGUCGGUCACUAUGGACAACUCCCUCAGCCCCGUGCACACCCUGAUUCAGAUACAGUGCGGCGACCACAAGGGCCUCCUGUACGACAUCAUGAGAACAGUCAAGGACUGCAACAUCCAGAUUUCGUAUGGCCGGUUCUACGCGGGCCAGAAGGGCCGGUGCGAGGUGGAUCUGUUCGCGGUGCAGUCGGAUGGGAACAAGAUACUUGACCAGCAGAAACAGAGAAGCAUGUGCUCCCGCCUGAGGAUGGAGCUGCUGCGGCCGCUCCGCGUGGCGUUGGUGAACCGGGGCCCCGACUCGGAGCUGCUGGUGGCGAACCCGGUGGAGGUGUCCGGGAAGGGCAGACCGCUGGUGUUGUAUGACAUCACGCUCGCGCUUAAGAACCUCCAUAGACGAGUCUUCUUGGCUGAGAUCGGAAGGCAUGUGGUGGACGAUCGGGAAUGGGAAGUGUACAGGGUGCACCUGGGGGAGGACGAACACGAGCUCUCGUGCUCGGUGCGGAGCAAGAUCGUCGACAGCGUCACCAACAUGCUCAUGGGCUGGGACUGA
RNAcentral lists this ribosomal RNA (1260 nucleotides) under Triticum aestivum (bread wheat). RNAcentral's name for it is "partial small subunit ribosomal RNA". Lineage: Eukaryota; Viridiplantae; Streptophyta; Magnoliopsida; Poales; Poaceae. The record is from RNAcentral.